UGAGAUUAAUCAAAUUGUGAAUAACUUUUGGAAAGGAGACUCAAUGUCAUACUCAAGCACUCCAGCACCCACAAAAGAACUCUGGUGGUGCGAGUUUAAGGGUUGGUAGGUGAAGAUGAUGGUGGUAUUGAUGUAAAAAUAUGUAGAAGAAGGAUUUGGACUGAGAAG
Zingiber officinale is the source of this 168-nucleotide long non-coding RNA. RefSeq lists it as uncharacterized. The transcript is spliced from 3 exons. The record is from RefSeq and is a predicted model, not a curated record. NCBI's taxonomy places the organism in Eukaryota, Viridiplantae, Streptophyta, Magnoliopsida, Zingiberales, Zingiberaceae.